Molecule: long non-coding RNA, 222 nt
Filed under: Bos taurus (domestic cattle)
Lineage: Eukaryota; Metazoa; Chordata; Mammalia; Artiodactyla; Bovidae
Description: long non-coding RNA NONBTAT026379
Source: RNAcentral
GCAUACAAGGGUGAGAGUGAAUAAUUUGUUAUAGCAAAACGGAUUUAGGUAAAGAGAAAAAGAGAAUGGCAAAUAUCAAAUGUACAAAAAGCUUGGCCACAGCAAAAGAAUAAUGGGUCACUUGGGGCCUUUGAAUCUUGGUAACUGAAGUAAAGAAUGAUAGAAUAUGUUCUAGUACAUGAUAAGGCAACUCAGAAACAGCCCAUGUAGCUUUCCCCAGGC